This 253-nucleotide ribosomal RNA is filed under the name uncultured microorganism. RNAcentral's name for it is "partial 16S ribosomal RNA". It matches the Rfam family "Bacterial small subunit ribosomal RNA", at positions 524 to 776 of the family's 1533-position model. The record is from RNAcentral.
UACGGGGUGGGCGAGCGUUGCCCGGAAUUACUGGGUUUAAAGGGGGUGUAGGCGGUCCGGAGAGUCAGGUGUGUAAUCCAACCGCUCAACGGUUGGGCUGCACCUGAUACUUCCGGGCUAGAGGGCGGUAGAGGAGAGCGGAACUCCCGGUGUAGCGGUGAAAUGCGUAGAUAUCGGGAGGAACACCAGUAGCGAAGGCGGCUACCUGGCCGGUAACUGACGCUGAGGUGCGAGAGCGUGGGGAGCAAACAGG